AGAGUUUGAUCCUGGCUCAGAUUGAACGCUGGCGGCAGGCCUAACACAUGCAAGUCGAGCGGAUGAAGGGAGCUUGCUCCUGGAUUCAGCGGCGGACGGGUGAGUAAUGCCUAGGAAUCUGCCUGGUAGUGGGGGAUAACGUCCGGAAACGGGCGCUAAUACCGCAUACGUCCUGAGGGAGAAAGUGGGGGAUCUUCGGACCUCACGCUAUCAGAUGAGCCUAGGUCGGAUUAGCUAGUUGGUGGGGUAAAAGGCCUACCAAGGCGACGAUCCGUAACUGGUCUGAGAGGAUGAUCAGUCACACUGGAACUGAGACACGGUCCAGACUCCUACGGGAGGCAGCAGUGGGGAAUAUUGGACAAUGGGCGAAAGCCUGAUCCAGCCAUGCCGCGUGUGUGAAGAAGGUCUUCGGAUUGUAAAGCACUUUAAGUUGGGAGGAAGGGCAGUAAGUUAAUACCUUGCUGUUUUGACGUUACCAACAGAAUAAGCACCGGCUAACUUCGUGCCAGCAGCCGCGGUAAUACGAAGGGUGCAAGCGUUAAUCGGAAUUACUGGGCGUAAAGCGCGCGUAGGUGGUUCAGCAAGUUGGAUGUGAAAUCCCCGGGCUCAACCUGGGAACUGCAUCCAAAACUACUGAGCUAGAGUACGGUAGAGGGUGGUGGAAUUUCCUGUGUAGCGGUGAAAUGCGUAGAUAUAGGAAGGAACACCAGUGGCGAAGGCGACCACCUGGACUGAUACUGACACUGAGGUGCGAAAGCGUGGGGAGCAAACAGGAUUAGAUACCCUGGUAGUCCACGCCGUAAA
RNAcentral lists this ribosomal RNA (804 nucleotides) under uncultured bacterium. RNAcentral describes it as "bacterial SSU rRNA". It matches the Rfam family "Bacterial small subunit ribosomal RNA", at positions 8 to 806 of the family's 1533-position model. The record is from RNAcentral.